GACGAACGCUGGCGGCGUGCUUAACACAUGCAAGUCGAACGCUGAAGCUCAGCUUUUGUUGGGUGGAUGAGUGGCGAACGGGUGAGUAACACGUGAGUAACCUGCCCCCUUCUUUGGGAUAACGCCCGGAAACGGGUGCUAAUACUGGAUAUUCACUGGUCUUCGCAUGGGGGUUGGUGGAAAGGGUUUUUCUGGUGGGGGAUGGGCUCGCGGCCUAUCAGCUUGUUGGUGGGGUGAUGGCCUACCAAGGCUUUGACGGGUAGCCGGCCUGAGAGGGUGACCGGUCACAUUGGGACUGGGAUACGGCCCAGACUCCUACGGGAGGCAGCAGUGGGGAAUAUUGCACAAUGGGCGCAAGCCCGAUGCAGCGACGCCGCGUGAGGGAUGGAGGCCUUCGGGUUGUGAACCUCUUUCGCUCAUGGUCAAGCCGCAACAAUGGUUGUGGUGAGGGUAGUGGGUAAAGAAGCGCCGGCUAACUACGUG
This 483-nucleotide ribosomal RNA is filed under the name uncultured bacterium. Its description in RNAcentral is "partial 16S ribosomal RNA". It matches the Rfam family "Bacterial small subunit ribosomal RNA", at positions 28 to 507 of the family's 1533-position model. The record is from RNAcentral.